This is a long non-coding RNA of Camellia sinensis, 1542 nucleotides long. RefSeq lists it as uncharacterized. NCBI's taxonomy places the organism in Eukaryota, Viridiplantae, Streptophyta, Magnoliopsida, Ericales, Theaceae. The record is from RefSeq and is a predicted model, not a curated record.
GAGAGUGUGGUUAUAAGCAAUUAAGUGAAAUGACGGUACUAACCUCAAUGUUGUCUAGGGUUAUACAUUGCAAUAGGGCUUCCAUAGAUAUUCAUCGCGAUGCCGCAUGCCUCACUGCUCCUCUUGGUGCUGCUGCGACGUUAUUGUGACUUCGCCUCGCCAAACUGAUGUCUCAACGUCGGCUCUCUUUAACGCCUUUGACCACACUCUUCCACGUUGGUGUCGUCAGUGUCUGCGCAGAUUUAGUGCUUGUGAGAUGGCAUCCACCCCUAGUUCACCCCGCACUCGGUCAAGAACUCGUGGUAAGGGUGUCACACCAACCCAACAAGAACCGGUACACAAAUGCACCUGGGACAGCGACAACACAAAGCUUUUUUUGCAAUUGGUCAUAGCAGAGAUGGGGGAUGGUAACUACUAGUUGUGCUCCUUGUCAAUGAGUGGUUAUAAGAAACUUGCGAAUAAGUGGUCAUAGCAGAAACUUGUGCUCCUGGACAGAACCGGCCUGCUACAUUUUGCCAAACAAAUGAAAAAUAAAUAUGACAACUUGAAGAAAGAUUGAAUUGUUUGGAAGAAGCUACAUGAUAGUAGCCAAGGCUUCACAGGGAUUGGGUAUGACCACACCUCUGGAUUGUUCACAGCCCUAGACCACUGGUGGGCAAAAAUAUGAACCACCGAUGCGCAAAGUUCAAGACAAAGCCAUUGGAGCACUUGGAUCUUAUGGAAAGGGUGUUUGCGGGCGCGGCUACAACUGGAAAACAUAUGUGGACGCCAACUGAAAUCCGCGAUGCUGAUGGAACUAGUGACAGUGCUGCAACCCUUGACAGCGGUAUGGGGCCUCUCAGUGGUGGCACACCACCACGUGAUGUGCUAGAUUGUGUCGGCGAUAACGUGGUGGAUUGUUCACUAUUUGACAAUGCUCCUCCCCAUUCCACCGCAGAUGGCUCUGCUAAUGCCAAAUGUUGCAAGCGAGUAGCCCCUGGUACUGUGGCAAGCAGCAUGGACAACCUUGUCGAGGCCGUUAGUAAACAAAAUAGGAAACUGAAAAUAACAUAGUACGUGGUUACAGGGAAGGGCGAAAACACUGUUGGGGACUGUCUUGCGAAGUUGAUGAUGGUGCCUGGGUUAUAUGGGGGUGGUUCGCUAUUCUCAUUCACUUGCUUGCUUAUGGAUUCACCUGAUAAGCGCAACCUAAUUAUGGGCCUCCCCCUAGAUUACGUUGUCAAUUGGCUGAAGAGAAGCGUGUAAUCGCCCACCAGCCUGCUAUGGUGGAGUGUAGUCAUGGCGUUCGUUUAUUUAGACAGGAUGGUGUCGUCGAUAUGGACUAAGAACCGGGACAACAAGGAUGUGUGCAUCUACAACGGUGUUUUUUUUUUUUUGUCAGGUUUCUUUUUUUUUGUUUAGUAGUGGUUUGGUUGCACCUUUUUAAAUUUUAGAAUCUUUGGUUAAUUGGACUGUUAAUGUGAUGUAUAACUGUUGGCAAAAAACUGUUAUGGUUGGGUUUGUAUUUUGGUUUUUAGUAGUGGUUUGGUUUCAACUUUUUAA